This is a long non-coding RNA of Apis cerana (Asiatic honeybee), 820 nucleotides long. RefSeq lists it as uncharacterized. Lineage: Eukaryota; Metazoa; Arthropoda; Insecta; Hymenoptera; Apidae. The record is from RefSeq and is a predicted model, not a curated record.
AAAAAGAAUCUUGUUAGAGGGAUUUGAAAUGUAUCUUUAUUCUUCUUUUUUUCUUAUUUUUCAAUCGGAAGAGGAUAUAAAUAGAAAAAUUUAAUUUGUGCGAAUUUGAGGCGUUUAAUCACACUCGAUAAAAAAUCUUCUCAAUAGUUGCACUAUGAACAAACUAUUUUCGACUGCGUGUCGUUUCUUAGAUUCGACCGGUCUUAUUUCCAUUGAUCUUUUCCUAAUGCAUCAUAAUUAUUAUUACAUAACAUAUAUCAAUACUUAUACCAUUAUUACGAUAAGAUAUAGAUAAGAUAAUUAUAUAUAUAUAUAUUAUUUCCUGGUUUCAAACUUUCAAUUGAACAGAAUUGCAAUCGAAAUCGAAGUUUUCUUUUUAAAGUCUCGCAAUUGAUAACUGUCGACUUGAUUAGUUGAUAGUCGUUAUUCACGAUUAUAUAUCAUAGAUAUAUUUUCAAUUUUCCGCGAAAGAAUUUUCCAAUAUAAGUCGAUUCAAGGCGAAGAAAUACCAUGUCGAUGAACAAAGAAAGGGUCGAAUUUGUGAAACCGGAAAUAGAGUCAUCGACUAUUAUAUGUCUCCCCUCAACGAAAAUUAAUAAACAAUAGAGUAUGGAAUACGAAAGACUCUCAGUUUACCGUUAUCGUUCGUAGGAGACAGAAGGUUGUGGUGCAUUGAUGAGAAUUAAAAAUAAUCGACGAACGAGAAAUUGAAAUUUAUUAUAAUUUACAUUGGUUUCAUUAUAAGUGAGAAAAAUUCAAACAAUUUAUUCUGAAAGCAAAUUAAUGAUCAAUUUUCGUUCAAAUUUUACGAUCAAUCAGG